UUAUUAUGUUUUAUGCUCAAUUAAGAGACUGUUUACAUUCUUUACUUUAGUGUUUAAAAAGGUGUAGAAGUGUGUGCACAGUGUAAGAAAAUGAAUAGGUCGGACCUCUAAAAAGAGCAUCCUUGUAUUUCAUUAAUGAUCCUUCCGCAGGUUCACCUACGGAAA
RNAcentral lists this unclassified non-coding RNA (165 nucleotides) under uncultured fungus. Its description in RNAcentral is "sequence contains ITS1". The record is from RNAcentral. Lineage: Eukaryota; Fungi.